Molecule: transfer RNA, 73 nt
Filed under: Stegodyphus mimosarum
Lineage: Eukaryota; Metazoa; Arthropoda; Arachnida; Araneae; Eresidae
Rfam family: tRNA
About the family: Transfer RNA (tRNA) molecules are approximately 80 nucleotides in length. Their secondary structure includes four short double-helical elements and three loops (D, anti-codon, and T loops).
Source: Rfam by way of RNAcentral
GCCUUCGUGGUGUAGUGGUCAGCACACCCGGCGCGUAUUCGAGAAGUCCGUGGUUCGAAUCCUGGCGAGGGCA